UCUCGGCAAUGGAUAUCUCGGCUCUCGCAUCGAUGAAGAGCGCAGCGAAAUGCGAUACGUGGUGCGAAUUGCAGAAUCCCGCGAACCAU
This 89-nucleotide ribosomal RNA is filed under the name Masdevallia bicornis. RNAcentral describes it as "5.8S ribosomal RNA". It matches the Rfam family "5.8S ribosomal RNA", at positions 4 to 92 of the family's 154-position model. Rfam says of the family: 5.8S ribosomal RNA (5.8S rRNA) is a component of the large subunit of the eukaryotic ribosome. It is transcribed by RNA polymerase I as part of the 45S precursor that also contains 18S and 28S rRNA. The record is from RNAcentral. Lineage: Eukaryota; Viridiplantae; Streptophyta; Magnoliopsida; Asparagales; Orchidaceae. RNAcentral also lists the same sequence under 1 other name.